Molecule: non-coding RNA, 85 nt
Filed under: bovine gut metagenome
Description: Glycine riboswitch
Rfam family: Glycine riboswitch aptamer
About the family: This family represents the bacterial glycine riboswitch.
Source: RNAcentral
AACUCCGGAGAAUUCCAACAAGAUUGGAUGCCGAAGGUGCAAAGGGGCUCUGCCCCCGAAUCUCUCAGGCAAAAGGACGGAGGUA